UACAGAGGUCUCAAGCGUUUGUUCGGAAUUACUGGGCGUAAAGGGUGCGCAGGCCGCGCGGGCAGUCAAAUGUGUAAUCCAGGGGCUCAACCCCUGAACUGCGCUUGAUACUUCCGCGCUCGAGCUUUGGAGAGGAGUCUGGAAUUUCUCGGUGUAGCAGUGAAAUGCGUGGAUAUCGAGAAGAACACUUAGGGCGUAGGCAAGACUCUGGACAAAUGCUGACGCUCAUGCACGAAGGCUAGGGUAGCGAACGGG
Molecule: ribosomal RNA, 255 nt
Filed under: uncultured bacterium
Lineage: Bacteria
Description: partial 16S ribosomal RNA
Rfam family: Bacterial small subunit ribosomal RNA
Source: RNAcentral